This 119-nucleotide ribosomal RNA is filed under the name Helianthus annuus (common sunflower). The record is from RNAcentral. Lineage: Eukaryota; Viridiplantae; Streptophyta; Magnoliopsida; Asterales; Asteraceae.
GGUUUCGAUCAUACCAGCACUAAUGCACCGGAUUCCAUCAGAACUCCGCAGUUAAGCAUGCUUGGGCUAGAGUAGUACAAGGAUGGGUGACCCCCUGGGAAGUCCUCGUGUUGCAACCC